Schizosaccharomyces pombe (fission yeast) is the source of this 901-nucleotide non-coding RNA. The record is from the annotation of a GenBank genome assembly. Lineage: Eukaryota; Fungi; Ascomycota; Schizosaccharomycetes; Schizosaccharomycetales; Schizosaccharomycetaceae.
AUCCGAUUUCGGUGGCUUUAGUAUAGUAUACAGGAGGAGUGGGUAGAAUAUUUUGCCAGUAAGUAAAUAGUAAAUUAGGUCAGAUCCGAGACGGGAAGGCAAGAAGAAGGAUUGAAAAAGGUUCAAGGAGAAGAGAUUCAUGAGAGCGAUCGAAUAUCGUUACCACAUAUCGAUCAAGAUUAUUUUUGUUUUGAUUUUUUACUUGAAAUCUGGGAACGCAUUGCACUAGCAAGAUUGCGCGACGCAACGUAACGUAUCCUACCGCAACGAUUUCAUACUAAACGUCCUGUUAAAGGGACAAGCUCGUUAAGCUGGUACUGCUGCAAUAUCAGCACUCGUUUCAAAGUAGCAUGUUGCUCGUAAAUACGAUAUUCUUAGAUGACGAUGAUCCAUGCAUGACUGAUUAAUAGUUCGUUUCUUAAUUAACGAAGGUGGGUGUGCCCGCGUUACUUAGCUUGGCAAAGGAUGAAAAAGUUUAUACAUGUGUGUGUGUCUAAGGGCAUUGCAAUUCCAUCGCACAUAUCAACCAAAGUAGGUAAACCAGAGAACCCUUUAAAAAAAAAAUAAAAAUAAAAAAAGGCUUUCUAUUAGCCCGGUAAAUGAAUUCGACGGAUGACUGUCAUGAUCGAUGAAUAGUUGGAGUUAGCAAUAAAAAAAAAAUGAACGAUAAGCGGCUAAUUUCACAUCAAAGGCUCCCGCGUUUCUAUACGGACCGAAACACCUGCCGAGGCACGUAUCCACUUGUUAAAACAAAAAAAAAACGAAAAACAGAAAAAUAAACCCUCAAGAAAGGAAUUCUUUCUUUCUAUGAGUGUAACAAACAUGGGCACUAUGAAGAUUGUAGACUUUUUAGAUAGUACAAUAAAUAAGAUUGCUACGUUCUUCUUGUCAUAUAAUGUAG